AACGAACGCUGGCGGCAGGCUUAACACAUGCAAGUCGAACGCAUCGCAAGAUGAGUGGCAGACGGGUGAGUAACGCGUGGGAAUCUACCCAUCUCUGCGGAAUAGCUCUGGGAAACUGGAAUUAAUACCGCAUACGCCCUACGGGGGAAAGAUUUAUCGGGGAUGGAUGAGCCCGCGUUGGAUUAGCUAGUUGGUGGGGUAAAGGCCUACCAAGGCGACGAUCCAUAGCUGGUCUGAGAGGAUGAUCAGCCACAUUGGGACUGAGACACGGCCCAAACUCCUACGGGAGGCAGCAGUGGGGAAUAUUGGACAAUGGGCGCAAGCCUGAUCCAGCCAUGCCGCGUGAGUGAUGAAGGCCUUGGGGUUGUAAAGCUCUUCCACCGAUGAAGAUAAUGACGGUAGUCGGAGAAGAAGCCCCGGCUAACUUCGUGCCAGCCGCCGCAGUAA
This 447-nucleotide ribosomal RNA is filed under the name uncultured bacterium. RNAcentral describes it as "partial 16S ribosomal RNA". It matches the Rfam family "Bacterial small subunit ribosomal RNA", at positions 29 to 523 of the family's 1533-position model. The record is from RNAcentral.